AUGCCUUCAAGAAACGCACUUCAGACAUCCCACUGCACCAUCGCGCUUUACAAAACUGUAUCCUACGCAGUAUCAUGCCCUGUCGGAAACGAAAACGAAAUGGGUUUCCAUCUUAGUGCAUAAAGAUGUUGCUUUUACUCUGCAAAGCUGUUACAUUGACCCUAAGGGAAGAUAUAUUAUUGUUGUAGGGUUCAUCAAUAAUGCACAAUACACCAUAGGGGCAGCAUACUUUCCGAAUGACAACCAAGCCUCUUUCCUCAAAUCUCUUCUGUCCAACCUAGAUACAUACAAACAAGGGGGGCUCAUACUGGG
Molecule: non-coding RNA, 312 nt
Organism: Pelobates cultripes (western spadefoot toad)
Lineage: Eukaryota; Metazoa; Chordata; Amphibia; Anura; Pelobatidae
Source: the annotation of a GenBank genome assembly